Molecule: ribosomal RNA, 435 nt
Filed under: uncultured bacterium
Lineage: Bacteria
Description: partial 16S ribosomal RNA
Rfam family: Bacterial small subunit ribosomal RNA
Source: RNAcentral
GAUGAACGCUGGCGGUAUGCUUAACACAUGCAAGUCGAACGAACUCUUCGGAGUUAGUGGCGGCCGGGUGAGUAACGCGUGAGAAUAUGGCUUUGGGUUCGGGACAACCACUGGAAACGGUGGCUAAUACCGGAUGUGCCGAGAGGUAAAAGAGAAAUUGCCUGAAGAUGAGCUCGCGUCUGAUUAGCUAGUUGGUGAGGUAAAGGCUCACCAAGGCAGCGAUCAGUAGCUGGUCUGAGAGGAUGACCAGCCACACUGGGACUGAGACACCGCCCAGACUCAUAGGGGAGGCAGCGGUGAAGAAUGAACCAGGAUGGGCGAAAGCGUGACGGAGCACUACCGCGUGGGGGAAGAAGUCUCUGGGGUUGAAAACCUCUGUUCGUAGGGAAGCACAAAAUGACGGUACCUAAGGAAUCAGCAUCGGCUAACUCCGUG